This is a non-coding RNA of Phalacrocorax carbo (great cormorant), 3832 nucleotides long. NCBI's taxonomy places the organism in Eukaryota, Metazoa, Chordata, Aves, Suliformes, Phalacrocoracidae. The record is from RefSeq and is a predicted model, not a curated record.
UAUGCCUGUGAUUUACUGCAGGAAAGAGAGAGUUCUGUUGCUCACUGAAGCACAGUGUUGUUCACAGGACAUAAUUUCUAGUUUAAGGGGAAAAAAACACUUCCACCUCUGACGAAGAGAAAUAAGCAUUACGUUAAUUAUGAAGAAUUGCAAAACUGUGCUCUGAAUAAAGAAGGAAUAAAUCAAGUUUUCGAGUGAGACUGUAAAUUUCUCCUGACAUCCUAGAAUUCUUGAAAAGAAAGAUCAUGUGUAAAAGCUACUGUGUUCCCCCCAAGAGAAAUAUUCAAGUGCAUCCCAAGGAAUCUGAACCUAAGGGUUACUUCAAAAAAGGGGGCGCCUGAAUGUGUUGUUUUACCUUAAUCUGUCUUACCCUAUGGCCCAGCUAACCAGCGCAGACUCUGCAGUGUCCACAGGUAAGAAAGGUGCUUCCCCUCCCAUUGCACAGAUCAGGUUCUGGCACUGCAGGAAUCAGACAGGACCCAAGUGUAGCCAGUGACUUGCAACAACUGAAGAGGCUCUCUGACAUGCAACAGGGGAGACAACCAUGGGCUCUGAAACCUCUGCAUUAUUUUAAAGGCAGGGGUGUGUGCAGAAACAAGCAAGGGACUGGAUAGGGAAGAUGCCAAUUACUAUCAGAGGAGAAUCAAACACCGUUGUGCCUUCUGCUCACUGCAAAAUCCUGAAGAUAAAUACAAAGUAAUCUUCAGAAACAAGUGAUUUGUAAAAGUCUGUGUGGAGAAAUGGAGAGAACUGAAUAUAAUCUCACAGUAAAAUUCUGCUGCUGAGAUUUCCAUUCAAGAAAAGCGUUUGUGAAUGCUAGGUAAGUGGCUAAGUAGAUUGACCUUUAUCUCAAUAACAUGUCAAAGUAACUGAACGUGUGUUAGGAUAAUUAAAUCUUCUCAGUGAUAAAGAUUUAAAACUUGAAAAGCAAAAUGGUAAGUUACACUUCUGUAAGAAUUGAGUGGUAAGUGACGUAGUCACUCACUACUGAGUAGCAAGUUCUACACUCACAGUGAGUACUGCUCAUUUUAGAGCAGGUAGUGGUUUUUGCAAUAUCUCCCAUUCUAAGAAUAAGCAGUUUAAAUGACAAUACUUUAAGAUAUAUUUUGAAUCACUAAAUAACAUUUAGAUCACAGAGGUUUCCCAAUGCCAACUUCUGAAGCUACUACAUUAAAAAUUUUUCUCUUGCAUGAAUAACAUUAAUAAUGGCCUUUUCUCUAAAUAUUAGAAUUUUGCAUUCUCUCCCUACAUCACAGUUUAUUUCAGCUUUGCAGUAUUGGAUCUGUUUGAAAAAUAGAAAGGAUACACUUGGCAACAUUCAGGAUAAACACUGUGAUGAAUCACACAUUCUUGCAAGGUGUAUAUUUAUCCUAUGAAAAUAUUUAAAUUCAUACGCACAUGUUUGCUUCUCUGUGCGAGACAACAUUUUUGUUGGACUUUUAUGAGGGCUUGGGUUAUAAAUUGCUUGUGUACUGACUAGUCUGGAGGGAAUGUCUUCUAAACUUUAAAUACAUCCAUACCUCUUGAAAUCUGUCGUCUAGUUUCGAAGAGUUUAAAGGAAAAACAACAAAACCAAACCAUCAUUUGUGACCUAUACAAAACCAAUGCUUUCUCUUCUAUCACUGCAGAAACAAAAAGCAGAAAAUUAUGCUAAAAUCAUACACUAUCACUUGCAAAUACUGGAGCCACUGCUUAAUUAAUAUUCUCUUAUCUUUGCUCUUCAACAAAUAAAGCUUUUAACAUGUUAGGCAGUGUAAGUUUUUCAUAAUGUAGACUUCAAAGCUUGCUGAAAUAAAAUGUUUCCUUUAUGAGGGCUCCGGUAGACUUGGAUACAUCCAAGAGAAAUAUUUAUAUGGCAUUGUGGUCAACCACCUUUCUUGCUGCUUCUCUUUCCCCUCCUCCCAGGGCCCCACUGAAUGCCACCACUGGGCUGAAAGCAAGUUAAAGUUAAACACAGAGAGGCUGAUAAGAUAACUCAAUGAACUUCUGAAUCAUAUCUAGAAAGGACUUUCCUUUUGAGGACAUGCUAUACUCUGAGAGUAUGCUAUACUGAUGUAGCAUUAUUCGUAUUAUUCUGCUAGGCUACAUCCACAAGUAUGUUUUAACAGGGACACUGUUAGAUGCAGUGUCCGUGUAUGCAGAGAUGAUCAUUAUACUGAUUUACUGUGACCCACCAGACAACACCUGUAGUACUGAAGAGAUAAUUUGGCUUAAACAGACUAAUGCCAGUCCAGUGAACAGGUAUUUCUCUUGCAAAACAAAGCAUAAUUUUAAGGCAUAAAAGGUCAAGACUGAAGCUGGAACAGGUAGGUAUAAUUUGCUAAACUAGUAACUACCCACCUCUACCCUCUUGGUUUCAGCUGUACCAAAUAUGUCCAAAUUCUUUACUGUGGGAGUGCAGAGGGGGUUACUGCCGUAAAUAACUUGACAGAUGAGAUCAGAUUUUCACACAAAACACAGAAAUUGAAGGUGAAGAGGGAGAUCUGGCUAAAUUUACGCAUCAUUCAGGAGUCAGCCCAUGUUCCUUAACUCCCUUCAACUUCUCCUCCUCCAUGAAUUACAUCAUCUGGAGCUACGGCUGCAGAGCAGCAUGUUCUGAGACCGUACGGACAGAACUCACUGACCCUCUGCGGGAUUCAUGGCACCACCCUCCUUCCAGCUUCUGCCAACAGAGCCGGAAAAAUGACCAAGCUGUAAAAGUGGAGUGAGUUAAUAUGAUUUAAAAAUGCAUAAAUGAAAAAACACAUUACUACCCUGUGUAAUGGAGACAACUUCUAUUUGUAUCAUAUACCUGUUAUCUAUAUGUGCCCCUAGAAACAACAUAACUCUUUGGUCUACAUUUUAAUAUUAUGGCGCAAAAAUUUAACAACCAGAUUCUCUCUGGCUGUAAUAGAAACCAAAUAUUAUUCCUCUGGCAUUUUGCUUAAAAAAAAUAAUUACAAAUUGCAUGCAAUUUCAGAGACAGAUCUCAGAGAUCAAUGGACUGUCCGAAGAACCUCAAAGAAAUAUUACUGCCCUGAAAUGCAAAACAAAUCAAAGAUCAAAACCUGAGGUCAGAGAAGGCUGUACUUACUCCUUAUUCCUGCUUUUAAUGCACGUCUGGUAAAGAACUUUGACAGCAUUCCAGGUCCCCACUGGUCCAGAGCUAGGCAUGAAUGUAUCUCCAAACAGUGUAAAAACACUGUCAGAGGAGGAACUUCCUAAAGACUCCACCAGCAAUGUGUCAGAAUUUAAAAGCCAUAUCUAUAAAUGAAGAAAUAAUUUAUUUUACUGUAGAUUAUAUAAAUUUUAAUUUGUUCCUUUACUCUGAUCCUAAAUCAGCUGAUACUAAAGCCACAUUCUUACAAAGUUUCUAACAAAGUGUUAACAGACAUAAAUUCACAUUUUAUUAUUCAGCACAGUCUGCACAGCCUCUAGUGGAGAAAAAUGGGUUAAUACAAUAAACUGGGCCCUAAUAUAUCAUAGCCAUUCUUAAGAUCAUUAUUUCUGUGAAGCUGCCUCUUUUUGUGGCUACAGCACAUUCUCUUUCAUAGUACCAAAUGAAACAGUCCCAAGCCGUCUGUUUCAGUACCAAAUGGAUUAUUUCUCCAAUUUCAUAGUUUUUUAGGAAUUAGUUGAACAUAUGGUGUUGAACAACUGAGGGCUAAAGACAGGGAUCUGCCUGCUGGAAGUGCCAAAAAUUAAGCAUUUUUAGAAAGAGUGUGAUAGUUAUGACUGGAUGGAGUUAAGCAAGGAAAAAGAAAAAUUAAUGUGGUGUAAAAGGAAGUCUGGGAUUUACAAAUGGCUGUAACAGACCCUUACUUGGAAAAUAAAUCUUUAUCAAAUUUGAUAA